CGUGUAGGCGGUUUAACAAGUCAGAUGUUAAAGCCCCCGGCUUAACCGGGGAUGGUCAUUUGAAACUGUUAGGCUUGAGUGCGAGAGAGGGUAGUGGAAUUCCCAGUGUAGCGGUGAAAUGCGUAGAUAUUGGGAAGAACACCAGUAGCGAAGGCGGCUACCUGGCUCGCAACUGACGCUAAUGCGCGAAAGCGUGGGGAGCAAACA
This 207-nucleotide ribosomal RNA is filed under the name uncultured bacterium. RNAcentral's name for it is "partial 16S ribosomal RNA". It matches the Rfam family "Bacterial small subunit ribosomal RNA", at positions 568 to 774 of the family's 1533-position model. The record is from RNAcentral.